This 253-nucleotide ribosomal RNA is filed under the name uncultured bacterium. RNAcentral's name for it is "partial 16S ribosomal RNA". It matches the Rfam family "Bacterial small subunit ribosomal RNA", at positions 524 to 776 of the family's 1533-position model. The record is from RNAcentral.
UACGUAGGGCGCAAGCGUUGUCCGGAAUUAUUGGGCGUAAAGAGCUCGUAGGCGGCUUGUCACGUCGGAUGUGAAAGCCCGGGGCUUAACCCCGGGUCUGCAUUCGAUACGGGCUAGCUAGAGUGUGGUAGGGGAGAUCGGAAUUCCUGGUGUAGCGGUGGAAUGCGCAGAUAUCAGGAGGAACACCGGUGGCGAAGGCGGGUCUCUGGGCAGUAACUGACGCUGAGGAGCGAAAGCGUGGGGAGCGAACAGG